UGGGUGUCUGUGGUUUUAUUCUGACUUUU
Molecule: non-coding RNA, 29 nt
Filed under: Mus musculus (house mouse)
Lineage: Eukaryota; Metazoa; Chordata; Mammalia; Rodentia; Muridae
Source: RNAcentral